UACGUAGGGAGCAAGCGUUGUUCGGAUUUACUGGGCGUAAAGGGCGCGUAGGCGGCGCGGUAAGUCACUUGUGAAAUCUCUGAGCUUAACUCAGAACGGCCAAGUGAUACUGCAGUGCUAGAGUGCAGAAAGGGCAAUCGGGAUUCUUGGUGUAGCGGUGAAAUGCGUAGAUAUCUGGAGGAACACCGGUGGCGAAGGCGGCAUCCUGGACCGGCAUUGACGCUGAGGCGCGAAAGCCAGGGGAGCAAACGGG
Molecule: ribosomal RNA, 253 nt
Filed under: uncultured bacterium
Lineage: Bacteria
Description: partial 16S ribosomal RNA
Rfam family: Bacterial small subunit ribosomal RNA
Source: RNAcentral